UUAACACAUGCAAGUCGAGCGCCCCGCAAGGGGAGCGGCAGACGGGUGAGUAACGCGUGGGAAUCUACCCAUCUCUACGGAAUAACGCAUGGAAACGUGUGCUAAUACCGUAUACGUCCUUCGGGAGAAAGAUUUAUCGGAGAUGGAUGAGCCCGCGUUGGAUUAGCUAGUUGGUGGGGUAAAGGCCUACCAAGGCGACGAUCCAUAGCUGGUCUGAGAGGAUGAUCAGCCACACUGGGACUGAGACACGGCCCAGACUCCUACGGGAGGCAGCAGUGGGGAAUAUUGGACAAUGGGCGCAAGCCUGAUCCAGCCAUGCCGCGUGAGUGAUGAAGGCCCUAGGGUUGUAAAGCUCUUUCACCGGUGAAGAUAAUGACGGUAACCGGAGAAGAAGCCCCGGCUAACUUCGUGCCAGCAGCCGCGGUAAUACGAAGGGGGCUAGCGUUGUUCGGAUUUACUGGGCGUAAAGCGCACGUAGGCGGACUAUUAAGUCAGGGGUGAAAUCCCGGGGCUCAACCCCGGAACUGCCUUUGAUACUGGUAGUCUUGAGUUCGAGAGAGGUGAGUGGAAUUC
RNAcentral lists this ribosomal RNA (573 nucleotides) under uncultured Alphaproteobacteria bacterium. RNAcentral describes it as "bacterial SSU rRNA". It matches the Rfam family "Bacterial small subunit ribosomal RNA", at positions 48 to 669 of the family's 1533-position model. Lineage: Bacteria; Pseudomonadati; Pseudomonadota; Alphaproteobacteria. The record is from RNAcentral.